GAUGAACGCUAGCGGCAGGCUUAACACAUGCAAGUCGAGGGGUAUUGGUUUUCGGACCAAGAGACCGGCGCACGGGUGCGUAACGCGUAUGCAAUCUACCUUUUGCAGAGGGAUAGCCCCAGAGAAAUUUGGAUUAAUACCUCAUAGUAUAGUACUUUGGCAUCAAGGAACUAUUAAAGUCACAACGGCAAAGAUGAGCAUGCGUCCCAUUAGCUAGUUGGUAAGGUAACGGCUUACCAAGGCUACGAUGGGUAGGGGUUCUGAGAGGGAGAUCCCCCACACUGGUACUGAGACACGGACCAGACUCCUACGGGAGGCAGCAGUGAGGAAUAUUGGACAAUGGGCGCAAGCCUGAUCCAGCCAUGCCGCGUGCAGGAUGACGGUCCUAUGGAUUGUAAACUGCUUUUAUACAGGAAGAAACACUCCGACGUGUCGGAGCUUGACGGUACUGUAAGAAUAGGAUCGGCUAACUCCGUGCCAGCAGCCG
Molecule: ribosomal RNA, 487 nt
Filed under: uncultured bacterium
Lineage: Bacteria
Description: bacterial SSU rRNA
Rfam family: Bacterial small subunit ribosomal RNA
Source: RNAcentral